This 1149-nucleotide ribosomal RNA is filed under the name Salmonella enterica subsp. enterica serovar Enteritidis. RNAcentral's name for it is "partial 23S ribosomal RNA". It matches the Rfam family "Bacterial large subunit ribosomal RNA", at positions 1794 to 2925 of the family's 2925-position model. The record is from RNAcentral. Lineage: Bacteria; Pseudomonadati; Pseudomonadota; Gammaproteobacteria; Enterobacterales; Enterobacteriaceae.
CUGCAACUGUUUAUUAAAAACACAGCACUGUGCAAACACGAAAGUGGACGUAUACGGUGUGACGCCUGCCCGGUGCCGGAAGGUUAAUUGAUGGGGUCAGCGCAAGCGAAGCUCCUGAUCGAAGCCCCGGUAAACGGCGGCCGUAACUAUAACGGUCCUAAGGUAGCGAAAUUCCUUGUCGGGUAAGUUCCGACCUGCACGAAUGGCGUAAUGAUGGCCAGGCUGUCUCCACCCGAGACUCAGUGAAAUUGAACUCGCUGUGAAGAUGCAGUGUACCCGCGGCAAGACGGAAAGACCCCGUGAACCUUUACUAUAGCUUGACACUGAACAUUGAGCCUUGAUGUGUAGGAUAGGUGGGAGGCUUUGAAGUGUGGACGCCAGUCUGCAUGGAGCCGACCUUGAAAUACCACCCUUUAAUGUUUGAUGUUCUAACGUGGACCCGUUACCCGGGUUGCGGACAGUGUCUGGUGGGUAGUUUGACUGGGGCGGUCUCCUCCUAAAGAGUAACGGAGGAGCACGAAGGUUGGCUAAUCCUGGUCGGACAUCAGGAGGUUAGUGCAAUGGCAUAAGCCAGCUUGACUGCGAGCGUGACGGCGCGAGCAGGUGCGAAAGCAGGUCAUAGUGAUCCGGUGGUUCUGAAUGGAAGGGCCAUCGCUCAACGGAUAAAAGGUACUCCGGGGAUAACAGGCUGAUACCGCCCAAGAGUUCAUAUCGACGGCGGUGUUUGGCACCUCGAUGUCGGCUCAUCACAUCCUGGGGCUGAAGUAGGUCCCAAGGGUAUGGCUGUUCGCCAUUUAAAGUGGUACGCGAGCUGGGUUUAGAACGUCGUGAGACAGUUCGGUCCCUAUCUGCCGUGGGCGCUGGAGAACUGAGGGGGGCUGCUCCUAGUACGAGAGGACCGGAGUGGACGCAUCACUGGUGUUCGGGUUGUCAUGCCAAUGGCACUGCCCGGUAGCUAAAUGCGGAAGAGAUAAGUGCUGAAAGCAUCUAAGCACGAAACUUGCCCCGAGAUGAGUUCUCCCUGAGACUUUAGGUCUCCUGAAGGAACGUUGAAGACGACGACGUUGAUAGGCCGGGUGUGUAAGCGCAGCGAUGCGUUGAGCUAACCGGUACUAAUGAACCGUGAGGCUUAACCUUACAACGCCGAAG